RNAcentral lists this transfer RNA (97 nucleotides) under Veronica eriogyne. RNAcentral describes it as "tRNA-Leu". Lineage: Eukaryota; Viridiplantae; Streptophyta; Magnoliopsida; Lamiales; Plantaginaceae. The record is from RNAcentral.
AUUAUUUUAGCCCAUUCGGAAGGAUCUCAUCUCUCUUAGAAAAAUGGAAAUUUUUUUGAAGUUCAUUGAUUAAUCAGUUCUAUUCUAUUUAAUAAUU